Molecule: transfer RNA, 53 nt
Filed under: Leptotrombidium intermedium
Lineage: Eukaryota; Metazoa; Arthropoda; Arachnida; Trombidiformes; Trombiculidae
Description: tRNA-Gln
Source: RNAcentral
UUUCAAAUGGUGUAAAGCACGUCCUCUUUUGAUGAGGAAAGAAAAAUUGAUAU